UACAGAGGGUGCGAGCGUUAAUCGGAAUUACUGGGCGUAAAGGGCGCGUAGGUGGUUAUGUAAGCUAGAUGUGAAAUCCCUGGGCUUAACCUAGGAAGGUCAUCUAGGACUGCAUAACUGGAGUACGGUAGAGGGUAGUGGAAUUUCCGGUGUAGCGGUGAAAUGCGUAGAUAUCGGAAGGAACACCAGUGGCGAAGGCGGCUACCUGGACUGAUACUGACACUGAGGCGCGAAAGCGUGGGGAGCAAACAGG
RNAcentral lists this ribosomal RNA (253 nucleotides) under uncultured bacterium. Its description in RNAcentral is "partial 16S ribosomal RNA". It matches the Rfam family "Bacterial small subunit ribosomal RNA", at positions 524 to 776 of the family's 1533-position model. The record is from RNAcentral.